This is a non-coding RNA of Prunus avium (sweet cherry), 217 nucleotides long. Lineage: Eukaryota; Viridiplantae; Streptophyta; Magnoliopsida; Rosales; Rosaceae. The record is from RefSeq and is a predicted model, not a curated record.
UUCACAUGAAUAGUAGCAGCCCUUGCCUUGCCUUUGCCUUGCCUUAGCCUUCAUGGGUGGACUUGCUCUUACAGAGGGAACAUGCGUCAGAGAGUUGAGAGAGGAGGAGUUGAAGAAGAUGAUCAUAAAGGUAAAUGUACAAUCACUAAAUACAGAGCUUCGAGAUCCCCAUGAUAGUGCGUGUGAAAAACCCUCAUCCCCGCGCGCAAGAGGGGGG